AGGUAUCGUAUUCUGAACCCAGCGGCCAUUCCCGAGGGGCAGUUCAUUGACAGCAGGAAGGGGGCAGAAAAGCUACUAGGCUCCUUGGAUAUUGACCACAACCAGUACAAGUUUGGCCACACCAAGGUGUUCUUCAAGGCAGGGCUUCUGGGGCUGUUGGAGGAGAUGCGAGAUGAGCGGCUAAGUCGCAUCAUCACGCGCAUCCAGGCACAGUCCAGGGGCCAGCUCAUGCGCAUCGAGUUCAAGAAGAUUGUGGAACGCAGGGAUGCCCUGCUGAUAAUCCAGUGGAACAUUCGGGCCUUCAUGGGUGUCAAGAAUUGGCCAUGGAUGAAGCUCUACUUCAAGAUCAAGCCACUGCUGAAG
Non-coding RNA from Heterocephalus glaber (naked mole-rat), 363 nucleotides. The record is from RefSeq and is a predicted model, not a curated record. Lineage: Eukaryota; Metazoa; Chordata; Mammalia; Rodentia; Bathyergidae.